GCAGAUUUGUUCUGACCUAAUUAGGCCAGUUGUAUGUACCCUCUGAGAUACUAAGGAAAGAGGGGUUCUUGCUAGCUUGGUUAGGUGUGAAUUUAAUAUAAAUUGACCCCUUAUUCUGCUUGAAAACUCAUCAGCCUUCACUAUUUGGCAGGCUGUGCAAGUGUAGGAUACUGGCGGUAUUGUGACUCAGAUGCUGUGUGGCUGAGGGUGCACCCCAUUAUGAAAGAGGCUGGCAGAGAUCCCUAGCAAGUUAAAGUCUGUCCAGAGAGUCCUAGGAGGAGAAGCAGAAAUGGCCUAUAUCAUCAAUGGAGAGGAAGUGCUGGCUCUUUUUUCUUCCUGGACAUAAACUGCUCUAUCUCCCUUCUCUGGAACAUUCAACUCAUGGUCACAUUCGUACUCUGGCUACCACUGUACACCCUCCCACCAAGAAAAUCCUUAAAAACAACUGCAAGGACAGCCUCAUAGUCCUUUCAAGGCAUAAAAUAAAAUUAAUGAUGGAGACCAGAAAUCCCACACUUCAAGUUCUUCCUUUGGAGGGAACAAGUCCUUGAAUGUCAAUGAUUUAGACCAGGUGGUAGGUAAUUCCCAAACUUUGCAUUGAUCCCAAGUCCACCAAUGUAAAGUGAUGGCAAUGGGCAAGAAUAAUACCAGGAAUAUCAGAGCUAAUGAGCAGCUGAUGAAACUUCCUGCACAAUCACCAAACCUAAUCAUGGUUUAGGGUCAUCUAUAAAAAGAGUAAAAAAAAAAAUGGCUAAAACCCUAUUGCAUACAAUCUCUUCUGAAAACAGGGUUAAAACAGAGCUUUAUUCUUUACCACCCCAUAUUUAGUUUUGUUACCCAACUCCCAAGACUAACUCCUAACUGGAAGCACCAAAGAGUAUGGGAAAUAACUAAAUCUUUAUUCUUUCAGAUGCCUCGGCUGUUAGACUUCCCUAUCCUCUUCUUCUAUUAGUUUUGCCUUCCUCUCAAUGACUCCAUUCUUGGAUUCAAGUCAUCUCAGAACAAGUUGUCUAAUGACUAUGGGGUGUUAAACUAUCAGUAAUAUGGAGGAGUCCCACAAUGGGCUAUGUUGGGCCCAUCUUUGCCAAUGCUCAUGCCAAUGCCUACUCUACCAGGACCCUCAACAUGGCCCACUCUGCUAUGGUUAGGGUCUGUUCUGCUGCCUG
This 1166-nucleotide long non-coding RNA is filed under the name Monodelphis domestica (gray short-tailed opossum). RNAcentral's name for it is "lncRNA (ENSMODG00000035367.2)". The record is from RNAcentral. Lineage: Eukaryota; Metazoa; Chordata; Mammalia; Didelphimorphia; Didelphidae.